CCUACGGGUGGCUGCAGUGGGGAAUUUUGGACAAUGGGCGCAAGCCUGAUCCAGCCAUGCCGCGUGUCUGAAGAAGGCCUUCGGGUUGUAAAGGACUUUUGUCAGGGAAGAAAAGGCUGUCGCUAAUACCGACAGUUGAUGACGGUACCUGAAGAAUAAGCACCGGCUAACUACGUGCCAGCAGCCGCGGUAAUACGUAGGGUGCGAGCGUUAAUCGGAAUUACUGGGCGUAAAGCGAGCGCAGACGGUUACUUAAGCAGGAUGUGAAAUCCCCGGGCUCAACCUGGGAACUGCGUUCUGAACUGGGUGACUAGAGUGUGUCAGAGGGAGGUAGAAUUCCACGUGUAGCAGUGAAAUGCGUAGAGAUGUGGAGGAAUACCGAUGGCGAAGGCAGCCUCCUGGGAUAACACUGACGUUCAUGCUCGAAAGCGUGGGUAGCAAACAGGAUUAGAUACCCCGGUAGUC
RNAcentral lists this ribosomal RNA (465 nucleotides) under uncultured bacterium. RNAcentral describes it as "bacterial SSU rRNA". It matches the Rfam family "Bacterial small subunit ribosomal RNA", at positions 338 to 795 of the family's 1533-position model. The record is from RNAcentral.